CAAUCAUUGUUGAAAGAGCAGGAUCUAGUGCCUGGGUGCACAAAAGCUGGAGAUUUCGAGAAGAGUUUGUGCGGACGAUCACCUCAGUAAUUGGGCUUUUUGCAUCAAUUGAACUUCCACUUCAGCGUAUUAUACCUCAUUCGAUUCUACAGAUGUUAAGUGAUCCAAAUCUUGGCGUCUGAUCUCGAGUGGUACUCCCAGCGCUUGGUUAUGAACACAAAGCAGAAUGAAAAGGGGCGUGAGGCAAUUGAUGUUUGGAAGUCCAGCUACUCGAAAUUCUACUAUGGGUGCAGUCAAAGAGGGCCUCGUUAUGCUCCCGACGCACCUCCAUGGAAGGAGAUGGAUGCUCGACGUCAAAAUGAUGGAUGUAAGUUGACUGUAGAGAUCAGAUUUCCUGCUGCCAACCCCUGCAGUUUUGAAAGUUGCAGGAAAGGGAGUGGGAAACAAAAACCCCACCCACUACUCGAUCAGUCUCGGAGAUCAUUACAAAAAGCAGAAAAACCGAGAAAAAGCAUAAAGCAAAAGUGGAAUAAAGGAAAAAGAGGAAUGAGAAAAACACUUGGAUAAGUAUACUGACAUUUUACAGCUGGAGUACACUGACCUUUUGCUAAGGUUUGCGCUGCUCACCCAUGUUGUAAACCUGUAAUGCAGCAAAAAAAAAGAAAAAGACUUGUGUUGAGUGCUUGAAUCUUAAUAUUGCUUACUAAUUAGAUUGUCAGAGAGCCUUUGACUAACAUACCGCACCCCCCAGAGGCCCGGCCCGGUCUUUAGCUUUCUUAUGGCAGUUUGUUCUGUUACAAGUUAACGAGUUUAGGCAUCUCCAUUACUCACAGUAAUGUGCAAAUUUAAUUUCAACACUUGUGACAAGUGGGGAAGGGCACUCGUGCCUUGUCUCAAUCAUAAAUUUAUACCCAAUGAUGAUACUCAUCAACUUCUCAG
RNAcentral lists this long non-coding RNA (939 nucleotides) under Malus domestica (apple). Its description in RNAcentral is "long non-coding RNA (MDOM_LNC010217)". Lineage: Eukaryota; Viridiplantae; Streptophyta; Magnoliopsida; Rosales; Rosaceae. The record is from RNAcentral.